CCAGGUAACUCCUAGUGCUUGCAGUUUUGCGAAGAGUCCCUAGUGCCAUACUCAGUGGAAAUGUAGCAAUGUCCAGUGCUACUACACAGCUGACUGUGGAUUCACCUAGUGACUGGUGCCACUGAGUAGAGAAGUUUAACAACAGAUCAGCAGAAGAGUGACCUUUUCUAAAGCCAUAUUGACUGUCACAAAGAAGUGAAUGGUAGUGGAAAAACUCAUUCUCAUUUGUUGUGAGGUUAUUGUCUCGGGAAUCUUGUCAGUGAUUGACAAAACUGACACAAGUCUGUGGUUGUUGAUUUCCAUUCUGCUCUUCUUUUUGUGAACAGGGAAAUACAUUUGCCUCUUUCCAUUUACACUGCAAGGCACUGCUGAUAGAUGCGAGUUAGAGGUCCUGCUAGCUAGUCUGCACAUCUACUCAGCAAUCUUGGGCUCACCUAUCUGGUCCCACAGCCUUUUUCUUCCUCUCUGUCUGCCUAUACUCACCUAUUUGUAUUUCUCAGUUCCUCACGUAUGGACUUUGUGCCUAUUUUGAAUAUAAUAAUAAUAAUAAUAAUAAUAAUAAUCCACAAAGUAAAAGUGAGACUCAUUCCCCAUGGUGUCCACUGAUAGACAUGCUGUAGUCUCUAAAUAGAUAAUCACAUACAAAAAACCACAUAUUAUUAUUAUUAUGAUAAUGAAGAUGUUGCUUAUUACAAAGAGGUUCACCAUUACUGCCACACAGGAUGCUGGCCAUCUGUGAUGUCUCAGCAGAUCCUGGAGGAUCUAGAGAGUCCAUGACAAAGUGUACCACCAUUGACACACUCUUCUGUGUCUACGAUGCCGACCAGAAUAAAGACACUUAACAGCAUCAAGGGCCCUGGGGUACUGGUGUGCAGCAUAGACAAUAUGCCCACACAGCUGCCCAGGGAAGCCACGGAUUUCCUCGGGGUCUCUGCUGCUGCCUCACAUGUACGACAUCUUGCAGUCUGAUGCCUCCAAGCCCUUCGAGGAGCAGUCAUUCACCCACGAAGUGCUUGGGGUGUGGUAAUUGCUGUGCCAGGCUGUGUCUGCUGCAACAGUGAUCAACACAGCAACAUUGACCAGUCUGAGGAGUGGAAACAACCACACUAGUAACAUUUAGUGUUAUACCUGGAGAGGGUUACUCCAGGUAUGUGGAGAUGCAGCAACUGGUGACGUCGUCAAAGGUGGGCGGGGCCCACCUGUAAGGUAUUUCCAGGUUACAAGUUCACUGAAGUUUGGUUAUUGAAGCAGAUAGUAAUUAUAUUAGGUGGGAAGGUGGUGGGAGAGUACAGGAAAGAUUGUAAAGAAUUUAUAUCAAUAGUAGCUUAGUGGGAAGUAUUAGCUUAUCUCCUGACCAGAGAUGAAAUCUCUGGCCAGGAAAUAAUGGGGAAUGUAUUCUAUAGGUUACCUUGAAUGGGGUUUACCUGGAGUGGGUUUCGGGGGUCAACGCCCCUGCGGCCCAGUCUGAGAAUAGGCCUCACGGCUGUUAUUGCUGGCUGCACGCAAGCUGACAUACAAACCACAGCCCGGUUGGUCAGGUACUGAAUUAGAGAUAAAAAUUGGAGAAAUGGGUUGUAAAACUUAGAACUGAAGACAUUAUAUUUUAAGAAGUUUUAGUUAGUCGAACAUCUUUAUUAUGCAGCUGAUACACAUCCUGCAAGACUGUAGGACUCGGAAAUGAAAUGUGUGAUAUAUCAUGGCUCAGUUGGCUGCCUUCUAGCAUACAUCAGGGGGAUUACCAAUAGACCCCUGGCUGUCUUCAGGAAGGUGCUGGACAGGCAGUAUGCUAGGAGGCAGUUGAACAGUCUUGGGCCCCUGACAUUUAUUGUGUUUUCUUAAUGUGCUAGUGGCACCCCUGCUUUUCAUUGGGGGGAUGUUGCAUCGUCUGCCAAGGCUUUUGCUUUCGUAGGGAGUGAUUUUCGUGUGCAAGUUUGGUACUAAUUCCUCUAGGAUUUUCCAAGUGUAUAUAAUCAUGCAUCUCUCUCGCCUGCAUUCUAUGGAGUACAGGUUUAGGAACUUCAAAUGUUCCCAGUAAUUAAGGUGUUUUAUCUCAGUUAUGCGUGCUGUGAAGGUUCUCUGUACAUUUUCCAGGUCAGCAGUUUCACCUGCCUUGAAAGGUGCUGUUAGUGUGCAGCAAUAUUCCAGCCUACAUAGAACAAGUGACCUGAAGAGUGUCAUCAUGGGCUUGGCAUCCCUAGUUUUGAAGGUUCUCAUUAUCCAUCCUGUCAUUUUUUCUAGCAGAUGCAAUGGAUACAAUGUUAUGGUCCUUUAAGAAACUGUCUGUCUUCCACCAAGGUAGUGACCCAAACAAAGAAGAAAUGCUUUUGCCAUCACAGUCUUGCCAGAGUGGCACUGAUACUACACCUCAAAACUGCAAACGUCUCCACCCGUCCUUUAGGGUGCAGGUGCUGUAUAAUCAGUACAAGUUUAGAGCUUCCCAACGACUCUGAAGGUAAGUCUGUAAGGCUGGAUUAUAAAAGGCUGAACGGCUUGCCUUGUGAAACUCUUAUGUAUUGAGAGGAUCACUUUGUUAAUUAUUGUAAAAAGUGUAGUAGCAUCAUAAUUUUAUAUGUGUUUAAAGAUUAAUAAGUUUGUCAUCUCAUAAAAAUGGAAUAAUGUGAAUUUGUAAAAUACUUUUUUCGUUAGAUUUUGGACUUCAGGUUCUCAUCAACUUACAGUGGGGUUAUGUUCCCACAAAACCAUUGAAAAUAUUUUGUCAAAUAUGAAUUAUAUGAUAAGUCAAUAAAUAACUACUGUCACUGAAUAAUAAACAAAUAAUUACUCUAAAUACCAGUAUUGAAAAGUCAGUAAAUGAAUAAAAGUUAUGGACUUGUUGCCUUCAUAUUGGGUAAUUAUCUCAAGUUUCACCUCCAAAGUAAUUGUUGCCACAUCAUCGUAAAGUUGAAAUGUUUUUGAGUCAAAUCAUUGUAAGUUGGGGCGCACCUGUAGUGUGUGGUAUUGUGAUAAAAUAAGAGUCAUUUAUUGCAGGAAUGCUACUCUAGUACAUGUGUUUGAGGACACUUUCCAUUUUAUCACAGGAAUUUUUUUUGUAUGUAUUUCAAAGUUAA
This is a non-coding RNA of Cherax quadricarinatus, 3068 nucleotides long. The record is from RefSeq and is a predicted model, not a curated record. Lineage: Eukaryota; Metazoa; Arthropoda; Malacostraca; Decapoda; Parastacidae.